UAAUUAAUAUUGUGGCCAAUUUGAAAGCCAUCAAGAAACAAGGUACUGUUGCGCAAAUACAGGAAGAGCUAGAUCGCACAACUGAAAGAUUUGGGGUUGAUUCGCGAGGAUGUUUCUAUAAAUCUAAAACAUUUGGGGUCAAAUUGAAAAGAACCCGAAUGUCAGGGAGCUGUUGUGCAAAAAUAUAUAAAGUCACCAUUGGAGAGAUCAACUUUUCUCUUCGCUGAACUAGAUGGAGACAGUAAGGAUGAGCACAACGGCGAGGCUUGAUUCCGAGCAUUACGACGUCGUUAGAGCAUGGCGACCGAAGAUCCGGUGACAGAGGAGUACGCCAUGUGAAUCUCGCGGCGAUCUCGAACUCGGCAUAAACAGAGGUGAAAGGUGAAGCACAGCCGUGAAAUGGAUAAGCUUGCGAGACGAUUUACAUUUAGACGCAACGGUGGACAGAAGAAGUCAGAGGUCAUGUGCACGGUGAGUCGGAGGCGGUUGCAAAUGACGACAAGUGAAGCUUAACACGAAGAGACACUCGAUUCCGGUAGGACUGAACUAGACAAUUCAGUGGAGAUCUCACGAGAAGAGAGAGAGAAGGUACCAACAGAUUAAAUGAAGAAAAUGUGAAAGAAGAGAGAUGAACAAUUUUUAUUUCGAACUGUUUUGAUUAUUGUGCUAUCUACUGAAAACCUUUUCACGAAUGAUAUCACAAGAAUAUAAUAAUAUAGAGAAUUCGUAAAGGGGUGAUAAUUUUAGAGUGUAAUAUACGAGAUAUAGGGGCAAAAGAGCCAUUAAAAAAAGACACAUCGGAGAAAAAUGGCAAAUUCUAUCCGUGCAAAUUAUGCACUUAUGUUUGUACAGGG
This 854-nucleotide long non-coding RNA is filed under the name Brassica napus (rape). RNAcentral's name for it is "long non-coding RNA (BNAP_LNC013125)". Lineage: Eukaryota; Viridiplantae; Streptophyta; Magnoliopsida; Brassicales; Brassicaceae. The record is from RNAcentral.